AGCACGCAUGACGGGUGUUCGAGGUUUCACUGCAAAGUAAACCUCGUUCUGAGAAUUACCGUUAGAACUUGAUCUGGACAAUACCAGCGAAAGGACAUGCCUGCCUCAUUUU
This 112-nucleotide non-coding RNA is filed under the name Penicillium subrubescens. RNAcentral describes it as "TPP sequence". It matches the Rfam family "TPP riboswitch aptamer (THI element)". From Rfam's summary of the family: Vitamin B(1) in its active form thiamin pyrophosphate (TPP) is an essential coenzyme that is synthesised by coupling of pyrimidine and thiazole moieties in bacteria. Lineage: Eukaryota; Fungi; Ascomycota; Eurotiomycetes; Eurotiales; Aspergillaceae. The record is from Rfam by way of RNAcentral.